RNAcentral lists this ribosomal RNA (300 nucleotides) under uncultured Desulfuromonadaceae bacterium. Its description in RNAcentral is "bacterial SSU rRNA". It matches the Rfam family "Bacterial small subunit ribosomal RNA", at positions 114 to 414 of the family's 1533-position model. The record is from RNAcentral. Lineage: Bacteria; Pseudomonadati; Thermodesulfobacteriota; Desulfuromonadia; Desulfuromonadales; Desulfuromonadaceae.
CACGUGGAUAACCUGCCCUAUGAUCUGGGAUAACACUUCGAAAGGGGUGCUAAUACCGGAUAAGCCUACACAAUCUUCGGAGCGAGUAGGAAAAGAUUUAUCGUCAUAGGAUGGGUCCGCGGUCCAUUAGCUAGUUGGUGGGGUAACGGCCUACCAAGGCUACGAUGGAUAGCUGGUCUGAGAGGAUGAUCAGCCACACUGGAACUGAGACACGGUCCAGAUUCCUACGGGAGGCAGCAGUGGGGAAUUUUGCGCAAUGGGGGAAACCCUGACGCAGCAACGCCGCGUGAAGGAUGAAGG